RNAcentral lists this ribosomal RNA (808 nucleotides) under uncultured bacterium. RNAcentral's name for it is "bacterial SSU rRNA". It matches the Rfam family "Bacterial small subunit ribosomal RNA", at positions 356 to 1177 of the family's 1533-position model. The record is from RNAcentral.
GGGGAAUAUUGCACAAUGGGCGAAAGCCUGAUGCAGCGACGCAGCGUGGGGGAUGACUGCCUUCGGGUUGUAAACCUCUUUCAGUAGGGAAGAAGCGAAAGUGACGGUACCUGCAGAAGAAGCGCCGGCUAGCUACGUGCCAGCAGCCGCGGUAAUACGUAGGGCGCAAGCGUUAUCCGGAAUUAUUGGGCGUAAAGAGCUUGUAGGUGGCUUGUCGCGUCUGCCGUGAAAACCCGAGGCUCAACCUCGGGCGUGCGGUGGGUACGGGCAGGCUAGAGUGUGGUAGGGGAGACUGGAACUCCUGGUGUAGCGGUGAAAUGCGCAGAUAUCAGGAAGAACACCGAUGGCGAAGGCAGGUCUCUGGGCCAUUACUGACACUGAGAAGCGAAAGCAUGGGUAGCGAACAGGAUUAGAUACCCUGGUAGUCCAUGCCGUAAACGUUGGGCACUAGAUGUGGGGGACAUUCCACGUUUUCCGCGUCGUAGCUAACGCAUUAAGUGCCCCGCCUGGGGAGUACGGCCGCAAGGCUAAAACUCAAAGGAAUUGACGGGGGCCCGCACAAGCGGCGGAGCAUGCUGAUUAAUUCGAUGCAACGCGAAGAACCUUACCAAGGCUUGACAUGGACCGGACGGCUGCAGAAAUGUGGCUUUCUUCGGACUGGUUCACAGGUGGUGCAUGGUUGUCGUCAGCUCGUGUCGUGAGAUGUUGGGUUAAGUCCCGCAACGAGCGCAACCUUCGUUCUAUGUUGCCAGCGCGUUAUGGCGGGGACUCAUAGGAGACUGCCGGGGUCAACUCGGAGGAAGGUGGG